CGGCAAUAUUAAAUACCACGAUCUCCGCUGGUACAGAGGGUAAUCCGCAGUCAAGCGCUGAAAAAUAAGGCAAUGUCCCAAAUCACCCAGUAACCGGAUGAAACACAGUUCUGGGAGUCAACUGAGGUUUUUAUUCACAGCAUCCAGUAUUUAUGCAAGUCCCCGUGCAAGGGGUUUCCAUACUGACAUAGCAGGGGUAAUACAGUAGGGGACUACAUGGGGGACUUAACAUUCAGACCUUUUGUCCCAUCAGGCACUGCUGCACGAGAGGGAUACUCCCACUGGGAUGUACCGUUAAGUGUAUUAUCUCUCCUUGCAGCAGAACCAGCAAUUCACAUUAAAAUCUAUAACUUUCACGAUACUUGGUAGAUUUAAACGAAUGGACGUUAGGUAGAUAGUUGGGGUAUGAGUGCACAGUUUGUGAGAAUACCGCUCAGAUCCCAGCUAAAACAACCGAACGCUGCACGAAAUACACUUUGCCAUAGAGUUUGACCCAAAGUACCGAACACCGAUGGGGAACCCUUAUGGCGAAAAGACCGGAGCUCCCGACCGGCCUGGAAGCCCAGCGGUGUUCGUGCCGUUGAGUAGCCGUUUUCAGUACCACGCGCUCAGCGACCAAACACCGCUGGGGAGACAAAGGAUCCAAGAUGGCCGAUCGCCGCGUGGUCGGUAGCCGAACGACGGCCACCUAGGAAAGCCUCUAAUUACC
Pelobates cultripes (western spadefoot toad) is the source of this 709-nucleotide non-coding RNA. The record is from the annotation of a GenBank genome assembly. NCBI's taxonomy places the organism in Eukaryota, Metazoa, Chordata, Amphibia, Anura, Pelobatidae.